This 122-nucleotide ribosomal RNA is filed under the name Cercospora cf. citrulina CPC 20714. RNAcentral's name for it is "partial 18S ribosomal RNA". It matches the Rfam family "Eukaryotic small subunit ribosomal RNA", at positions 1712 to 1831 of the family's 1831-position model. Lineage: Eukaryota; Fungi; Ascomycota; Dothideomycetes; Mycosphaerellales; Mycosphaerellaceae. The record is from RNAcentral.
GGACUGGCCCAGGGAGGUCGGCAACGACCACCCAGGGCCGGAAAGUUGGUCAAACUCGGUCAUUUAGAGGAAGUAAAAGUCGUAACAAGGUCUCCGUAGGUGAACCUGCGGAGGGAUCAUUA